Molecule: ribosomal RNA, 326 nt
Filed under: candidate division WS6 bacterium RIFOXYB1_FULL_33_15
Lineage: Bacteria
Description: bacterial LSU rRNA
Rfam family: Bacterial large subunit ribosomal RNA
Source: RNAcentral
GUUCAGACCGUCGUGAGCCAGGUCGGUCUCUAUCCGGUAUGGGCGUUGUAUAUUUGAGGGAUUCGACCCCUAGUACGAAAGGAUCGGGGUGUGGCAACCUCUAGUGUACCAGCUGUUCUACCAAGAGCAUAGCUGGGUAGCUAAGUUGUUUUAGGAUAAAUACUGAAAGCAUAUAAGUAUGAAACCUUUCCCAAGAUUAGAUAUACUUGCAUAGCUUGGCUAUGCGUGAGGUCCGUGGGAGACUACCACGUUGAUAGGCUCUAGGUGUAAGCACAGUAAUGUGUUGAGCCAAGGAGUACUAAUAGACCGAAAGCUUCAUAUAUUUU